UGGGGAAUAUUGGACAAUGGGCGCAAGCCUGAUCCAGCAAUACCGCGUGUGUGAAGAAGGCCUGAGGGUUGUAAAGCACUUUCAAUGGGAAGGAACACCUAUCGGUUAAUACCCGGUAGACUGACAUUACCCAUACAAGAAGCACCGGCUAACUCCGUGCCAGCAGCCGCGGUAAUACGGAGGGUGCAAGCGUUAAUCGGAAUUACUGGGCGUAAAGCGUGCGUAGGCGGUUUUUUAAGUCAGAUGUGAAAGCCCUGGGCUUAACCUGGGAACUGCAUUUGAUACUGGGGAACUAGAGUUGAGUAGAGGAGAGUGGAAUUUCAGGUGUAGCGGUGAAAUGCGUAGAGAUCUGAAGGAACACCAGUGGCGAAGGCGGCUCUCUGGACUCAAACUGACGCUGAGGUACGAAAGCGUGGGUAGCAAACAGG
RNAcentral lists this ribosomal RNA (428 nucleotides) under uncultured bacterium. Its description in RNAcentral is "bacterial SSU rRNA". It matches the Rfam family "Bacterial small subunit ribosomal RNA", at positions 355 to 776 of the family's 1533-position model. The record is from RNAcentral.